CGAGUCAUUGGGACUUUCUAAACCUAAAGGCGUAAUGAAAGUGAAGGCCCGCCUUGCGCGGGCCGAGGGAGGAUGGGUGGCGUCACGAUGCCGCCCCGCACUCCCGGGGCGUCUCAUUCUCAUUGCGAGAAGAGGCGCACCCAGAGCGUACACGCUGGGACCCGAAAGAUGGUGAACUAUGCCUGGUCAGGACGAAGUCAGGGGAAACCCUGAUGGAGGUCCGUAGCGAUUCUGACGUGCAAAUCGAUCGUCGGAACUGGGUAUAGGGGCGAAAGACUAAUCGAACCAUCUAGUAGCUGGUUCCCUCCGAAGUUUCCCUCAGGAUAGCUGGCGCUCGCUUUGCGAGUCUCAUCCGGUAAAGCGAAUGAUUAGAGGCAUUGGGGUCGAAACGGCCUCAACCUAUUCUCAAACUUUAAAUGGGUGAGAUCUCCGGCUUGCUCGAACUUGAAGCCGUGAGAUAUUACAAGGAUCAGAGUGCCAAGUGGGCCACUUUUGGUAAGCAGAACUGGCGCUGUGGGAUGAACCAAACGCAGAGUUAAAGCGCCUAAAUCGACGCUUAUGGGAUACCAUGAAAGGC
RNAcentral lists this ribosomal RNA (577 nucleotides) under Enochrus (Enochrus) sp. IBE-AB85. RNAcentral's name for it is "eukaryotic LSU rRNA". It matches the Rfam family "Eukaryotic large subunit ribosomal RNA", at positions 687 to 1222 of the family's 3401-position model. Lineage: Eukaryota; Metazoa; Arthropoda; Insecta; Coleoptera; Hydrophilidae. The record is from RNAcentral.